RNAcentral lists this long non-coding RNA (1465 nucleotides) under Helianthus annuus (common sunflower). Its description in RNAcentral is "hypothetical non coding rna". Lineage: Eukaryota; Viridiplantae; Streptophyta; Magnoliopsida; Asterales; Asteraceae. The record is from RNAcentral.
UGUAUUGACCCGUUAUGAAUAAGCUUAACACACUAGUGCUUUAAAACGAAUCUUGGAAGUAGUAAUAUGUAAACAAGGAGAAGUAAUAAACAUCAUGUUUAAAUGAACUUGAAUGAAAUGUGAUAAUCCCCAAUUUUAUAAUGAGUAUGGCAGAUAUCAUAGUGUGAUAAACCUAUCUAGGUCAGUGAAAGAAUGUUCAUAAGCGAAAGCUCGUCACACGGAUAAACGAGGUCAAUACGAAACAUGGUAUGGAUGGGGACGAAGAGGACCGACUCGUUGCUGCAUGUUCAAGUACUGCACCAAGGUAGUAAGGUUAGCAAAUUAUUUAAUAUAUGAAGGUACGAUGCUCGAAUCCCUCAAACCUACGCUCUCGUGAAAGUGUGUUCGUUUCUAAACGCCACGCAAGUAAGUGAUUUAAGGAUUUCGAGCUAUGCUUUUAGAUGAAAACGGAAAUGGGUUAUGGAUAAAUUACUAUUAUAACCUGGGUUGGGACGUUAUGGGAUGUUAGGGAAGGUUUCGGGACUGCCCGAGACCAUUUCUGGUUGAAAAAAAAAAGACCCGGGAACAAAAAUUUUUGGUCAAACAGCGUCUGCACACCAGAGAGCCCGUCGGCGACGGCCUUUAUGCCGUCGGCGACGGCACCCCUCCACCUGACGCGCUAACUGUCUGUCUACGGGCAAUGUUUAGCGACGGGACCUUCCCGAGCCCGUCAGCGACGCACCAUGUGCCGUCGGCGACGGGCUAAGGUCCUUAAUUCAGUUCUAGCAUUCAUUAAACACUAAGAACACCCCAGAUUGAUUAUGAAGCUAGGAAAUUCAAGACAACUAUCGUGUUUUAAUGAUGAAUGUGUGGGAAGUUAUGUAUGCGAACGGAUGAAAUAAGUAACACAUCUAGAAUGUUUGUAAAGAAAGAUUGGGUAAGUUUAUAAAAAUUUUACGCUAUCAUUGAGAAAGUACCUCCGUAUGAAUAAGUACGAUAUGUUAAAUGUGUACGAAUGAACGAGAUUGAAUGCGGAAAUGAAUAAAAUAAUGAUGACUAGGGAUUGGUUUUCGCAAAGAAGUUUGAAAUCUUGAUAAGUAUGAAUAAUAUGUCAGGAUGCUAGUUUCAAAUUAUGGACUAUGGGAUCUGUGAUUAGGCAAUUUCUCACAACAUGCUUAUGUAAGUCGUCCAAUGUCACUUGAAUGAAUGAACGAACGAAGAAUAAAACUAGAUGGGUUAUAGAAGAAAUGAAAGAGGUUUCGGGGACGAAACCUUCUUUAAGGGGGAUAGAUUUGUAACACCCCAAAACUCGAAUUAUUAAAUUCGUUAGUAGGUUACCUUGGGUAAUUAGAUGAAGUACAACAACUAAGUUAUUAAACUUAGUUAAAUGUCUAAUAAAUAAGUAAAGGAAUGAAGUUUGUGGCAACUAUGAUGAUGUGUUAGAGUUGAGGGACCUAGAUUGCCAUAAUGUAAACUAAAAUUUUAU